RNAcentral lists this unclassified non-coding RNA (253 nucleotides) under uncultured Gammaproteobacteria bacterium. RNAcentral's name for it is "contains 16S-23S intergenic spacer region". It matches the Rfam family "Bacterial small subunit ribosomal RNA", at positions 524 to 776 of the family's 1533-position model. Lineage: Bacteria; Pseudomonadati; Pseudomonadota; Gammaproteobacteria. The record is from RNAcentral.
UACGUAGGGUGCGAGCGUUAAUCGGAAUUACUGGGCGUAAAGCGUGCGCAGGCGGCUUUGCAAGACAGAUGUGAAAUCCCCGGGCUCAACCUGGGAACUGCAUUUGUGACUGCAAGGCUAGAGUACGGUAGAGGGGGAUGGAAUUCCGCGUGUAGCAGUGAAAUGCGUAGAUAUGCGGAGGAACACCAAUGGCGAAGGCAAUCCCCUGGACCUGUACUGACGCUCAUGGACGAAAGCGGGGGGAAGAAACAGG